RNAcentral lists this ribosomal RNA (331 nucleotides) under uncultured bacterium. RNAcentral's name for it is "bacterial SSU rRNA". It matches the Rfam family "Bacterial small subunit ribosomal RNA", at positions 34 to 334 of the family's 1533-position model. The record is from RNAcentral.
GAUGAACCGCGUGGGCGGCGUGCUUAACGACAUGCAAGUCGAACGAGGAAUCGAACGGAAGUUGAGGAUUCGUCCAAAUGAAGUUGAGGAAAGUGGCGGACGGGUGAGUAACGCGUGGGUAACCUGCCUUAUACAGGGGGAUAACAGUUAGAAAUGGCUGCUAAUACCGCAUAAGCGCACAGGACCGCAUGGUCUGGUGUGAAAAACUCCGGUGGUAUAAGAUGGACCCGCGUCUGAUUAGCUAGUUGGCGGGGUAACGGCCCACCAAGGCGACGAUCAGUAGCCGGACUGAGAGGUUGACCGGCCACAUUGGGACUGAGAUACGGCCCAG